CCCCUAGAUGUUCUGGGCCGCACGCGCGCUACACUGAUGCAUUCAACGAGCACCCGCUGGGCCGAGAGGUCCGGCUAAUCUUUGAACGUGCAUCGUGCUGGGGAUAGAUGAUUGCAAUUAUUCAUCUUCAACGAGGAAUUCCUAGUAAACGCAAGUCAUCAGCUUGCAUUGAUUACGUCCCUGCCCUUUGUACACACCGCCCGUCGCACCUACCGAUUGAAUGGUCCGGUGAAAUUCUCGGACGCGGACUUGCGAUGUUAAUUCGGAGCUUGACUGUGAAAGUUAAUUAAACCUUACCAUUUAGAGGAAGGUGAAGUCGUANCA
RNAcentral lists this ribosomal RNA (324 nucleotides) under uncultured eukaryote. RNAcentral describes it as "partial 18S ribosomal RNA". It matches the Rfam family "Eukaryotic small subunit ribosomal RNA", at positions 1470 to 1796 of the family's 1831-position model. The record is from RNAcentral.